GCUGUCUCCACCCGAGACUCAGUGAAAUUGAACUCGCUGUGAAGAUGCAGUGUACCCGCGGCAAGACGGAAAGACCCCGUGAACCUUUACUAUAGCUUGACACUGAACAUUGAGCCUUGAUGUGUAGGAUAGGUGGGAGGCUUUGAAGCGUGGACGCCAGUCUGCGUGGAGCCAACCUUGAAAUACCACCCUUUAAUGUUUGAUGUUCUAACGUUGGCCCCUUAUCGGGGUUGCGGACAGUGUCUGGUGGGUAGUUUGACUGGGGCGGUCUCCUCCCAAAGAGUAACGGAGGAGCACGAAGGUUAGCUAAUCCUGGUCGGACAUCAGGAGGUUAGUGCAAUGGCAUAAGCUAGCUUGACUGCGAGCGUGACGGCGCGAGCAGGUGCGAAAGCAGGUCAUAGUGAUCCGGUGGUUCUGAAUGGAAGGGCCAUCGCUCAACGGAUAAAAGGUACUCCGGGGAUAACAGGCUGAUACCGCCCAAGAGUUCAUAUCGACGGCGGUGUUUGGCACCUCGAUGUCGGCUCAUCACAUCCUGGGGCUGAAGUAGGUCCCAAGGGUAUGGCUGUUCGCCAUUUAAAGUGGUACGCGAGCUGGGUUUAGAACGUCGUGAGACAGUUCGGUCCCUAUCUGCCGUGGGCGCUGGAGAAUUGAGGGGGGCUGCUCCUAGUACGAGAGGACCGGAGUGGACGCAUCACUGGUGUUCGGGUUGUCAUGCCAAUGGCAUUGCCCGGUAGCUAAAUGCGGAAGAGAUAAGUGCUGAAAGCAUCUAAGCACGAAACUUGC
RNAcentral lists this ribosomal RNA (783 nucleotides) under Klebsiella aerogenes. Its description in RNAcentral is "partial 23S ribosomal RNA". It matches the Rfam family "Bacterial large subunit ribosomal RNA", at positions 2015 to 2797 of the family's 2925-position model. The record is from RNAcentral. Lineage: Bacteria; Pseudomonadati; Pseudomonadota; Gammaproteobacteria; Enterobacterales; Enterobacteriaceae.